RNAcentral lists this long non-coding RNA (366 nucleotides) under Capra hircus (goat). Its description in RNAcentral is "lncRNA (ENSCHIG00000007529.1)". Lineage: Eukaryota; Metazoa; Chordata; Mammalia; Artiodactyla; Bovidae. The record is from RNAcentral.
AUCGUCUUUGUUGUACCCGGGCAGAGCUUCCUUCAGCAAAGGCAGCAACAUUGGACGGCCCAAGGCCAGAGAUUCCUUGAGCUGUGUGAUGCUGUGGACUUGGGGAAGUCUUGUGUUAAGUAACACCAGCUCCCCCGGAGACUGGUGGCCCUUGCCCAUGCCAAGUGGGACAAGGAGAAGGUCUCCAUGGGGGUCAGCACUAAGCGACUGAAGCGACUUAGCAGCCGCAGCAGGAAGCUUGAACACAAUGUGAUGACUGAUUCAGAAAUGAAGGAACGGCUCUUUUCAAGCGGACAAGACAUCACUGGGCAUAAGGACGAAGAGCUGCAGUCCAGAGGGAGAGAAGACAAGCAAUAGAUCAUUAUU